RNAcentral lists this ribosomal RNA (425 nucleotides) under uncultured bacterium. Its description in RNAcentral is "SSU rRNA". It matches the Rfam family "Bacterial small subunit ribosomal RNA", at positions 369 to 808 of the family's 1533-position model. The record is from RNAcentral.
CAAUGGGGGAAACCCUGAAUGCAGCGACGCCGCGUGAAGGAAGAAGUAUCUCGGCUAUGUAAACUUCUAUCAGCAGGGNAAGAUAGUGACGGUACCUGACUAAGAAGCCCCGGCUAACUACGUGCCAGCAGCCGCGGUAAUACGUAGGGGGCAAGCGUUAUCCGGAUUUACUGGGUGUAAAGGGAGCGUAGACGGACUGGCAAGUCUGAUGUGAAAGGCGGGGGCUCAACCCCUGGACUGCAUUGGAAACUGUUAGUCUUGAGUGCCGGAGAGGUAAGCGGAAUUCCUAGUGUAGCGGUGAAAUGCGUAGAUAUUAGGAGGAACACCAGUGGCGAAGGCGGCUUACUGGACGGUAACUGACGUUGAGGCUCGAAAGCGUGGGGAGCAAACAGGAUUAGAUACCCUGGUAGUCCAAGGGCGAAUUC